Long non-coding RNA from Cyprinus carpio (common carp), 1407 nucleotides. The record is from Ensembl. NCBI's taxonomy places the organism in Eukaryota, Metazoa, Chordata, Actinopteri, Cypriniformes, Cyprinidae.
AGAAUAUUUUAAUUAUUCAACAACAACAACAAAAAAAGUGUGAAAAUAUAAUUUAAUUGUGCAUUUAUGGUAAACGAAAUGCUAUAAAAUUAUCCCUAGCAAGGCAAAGUAGCCAGCCAUUUUUUAUUUUAUUUUUGGUGUUUUUAUCAGGACAAGACAGUGUAGAGCAGACAGGAAGCGAAGUGGAAGAGAGAGGGGGUGGGAUCUGGAUUCGAACUCGGGACACCCGUAAUGCCUUAUAUACGUCGUGCACUGCCCGCUAGGCUAUCAGCGCCGAUGUAGUCAUCCACUUUGUUCCAGAAAUAUCAACCUGGCCAUCAAACCUGAUCUCAUGAGAAAAGGAAACUAUUUCAUGCAAUGAAAAUUGCUUAUGAAUUUAUAUGAUGUGAUUUGAAUGAAAACGUAAGAUUUUUAGGAAAAAAGUAGGCAUGAAGUCCCACCCCUAAACCUAACCGUCAACAGGGCCGAAGCACAUUGUAUAAAAAUGUACAAAUUCAUACGAAUUAGCCACCGAUUCACUAAAAUGUAACAGUUAUAAAUUGCCAAUUAAGUGUGUGUUGGAGGCAUUACUGUUUAUGACUGGCUUUUAAGUUAACUGUUAAACUUUCUUCUAUCAUACAGAUGCAGAGGUGACUAUCUUGUGAGAGAGAAUCUGGACAAAUUGCAUACACAGUCCAGUGUUGUGAGCACAUCUGGGCUACCUCGUUGCCUUUGGUCUGUGUUCCACAAAGGAAGAAGAUAACAUAUUUGGCUUUUGUGCUAAUACAACAUGGUUGCUUUCCUCUGGUCCUUCCUGAGCGGUCUCUGGCUGACGGUUGUCACAAUGCCAAGACCUGCAGGAAAUCUGCAAAUGCAAGGUACAACACAGCUGAGGAUUCAGAUGUUUGGUACUCCAUCAUGCCGAGCUCAAAACAGCUCAGCUUGAGACAUAAAAACAUGUCCCGAAAGCUCGUCCCCCGUAAACAUGUCUAACCUCACCAGGAAUUCUGUUCCAAAGAGCACAGCGUUUCCGCUAGAAGGACACUGCUAUGCUUUAACUAACUCUACAUCUCUAGAUCUAGUAACUCUGCAACCUUGCUCUGGGAUCUGCUAAGACAAGCCCAGCUUUAUCCAUCAUUAACAACAAAUAACUUGCUCUUUGAUGGUUUCCUUUGGACUUCCUCAUUCCCAAGGGUCCGAUUGGACGACAUAAUCUGUACGGCACACUCAUGUCUGCCAAGAGCUGGUUGCAAAGGAGGUUUUGUUUUUGAGGACAGAAACAGAGGGACUUAUGGUCCAAAUAUGGUCCACUUUCAUGCCAAGGGUGGGGAGAGGGGGCAGGAAAAAUCCCCCCGAAGCACAGGAUGCACAUGGACAGACCAUGACAGCUAGAAUAAAGCAGGAUAUGGAGAGAGAACGAAAGGAAGA